AGUUUUUUUUUUUUUUUUUUUGGAUAGAGAAUGCUCAAGUUAGGGAUGAGGGGUUGGCAGAGGGGCAGAGGGAGGAGAGAGAGAAUCUCAAGCAGAUUCCAUGCCCAGCUUGGAGCUUGAUGCGCCCCUCUUCAUUCUUUUUUUUUUUUUUUAAAGAUUUUAUUUAUUUAUUCAUGAGAGACAGAGGGUGGGGGAGCAGAGACACAGGCAGAGAGAGAAGCAGGCUCCAUGCAGGGAGCCCAAUGUGCGACCCGAUCCUGGGUCCCCAGGAUCACACCCUGGGCGGAAGGCAGUGUUAAACCGCUGAGCCACUUGGGCUGCCCUCUUGGUUCUUUUUUUAAUGGCAUCUCAUUCACUGAUGAACAUUACCUUCUCAUUGCUGAAAAUAUUCUAAUAUGUUUUACUCUCUUUUGCGUUGUGCCAGAAGUUCCCUUCUGCUGUUUGUUUUGCUCUCUGUCAGGUUGGAAGUAUUUGUGUAAAACCCCCUCUUCCUGGACAGGUCUGGAUUUAAGAACCAUUUGCAUCUGUGGGAGAGCCCUUAUGAUCAGGAGGAAGAUGUCCACAAAAUGCUGGGUAGGCAAAUACCAUGACAGAUGUCCCAUUCUGGCAGCAGGCUCCACUUUUAUUGGGAAGACCUGAAAUGUCAGCAUCUGGCAAUCAUUUAUCCCAGAAGAAGUUCUUGUCUCUGCCCCCUGCAGGUAGGUGCCUAACAGUAGGAAUUCUGGGAGCUGGGUGGGGGAGGGGCUUGGGGUACUUGGUCAGAACACAG
This 769-nucleotide long non-coding RNA is filed under the name Vulpes vulpes (red fox). RNAcentral describes it as "lncRNA (ENSVVUG00000012867.1)". The record is from RNAcentral. Lineage: Eukaryota; Metazoa; Chordata; Mammalia; Carnivora; Canidae.